This 1802-nucleotide long non-coding RNA is filed under the name Portunus trituberculatus (swimming crab). RNAcentral describes it as "uncharacterized LOC123504601, transcript variant X2". The record is from RNAcentral. Lineage: Eukaryota; Metazoa; Arthropoda; Malacostraca; Decapoda; Portunidae.
AACUUUCGAUAGUGAGGGGACGCAAUCAGUCGUUGUUGUAGAAUAUAAUUAUCAUCUAAUGUCUAAUUUCUGUGUAUGAUUCAAUAAUUGGUCGAAUUAAGGAAAAAAAGUGUGGGUAUGUUGAUGUCCUCUCAUUGUAUUUAGUAUUUACAAUCAUGGUUACGUAGUGUGCCUGUGACUGCCGGGGAUAUUCUGCACACUCAAUGCAUAAAUCAUUAACAAGAAAGAAAAAAUAUCAACAAAUGACAGCCGUGAUAAUGUACAUAAUUAGAGAACAAGUCCUUAUAAAAUGCUGUUCUCAUGAAUGAGUAAUGGAAAUUACCAAUGUGAUAAGUGAUGAAGUGGGAAGGAGAAGAACAGGAAACACAUUUGGUAACAAGGCGUCCGAUACAUCUUAAAAACACAUAUUUUUUCGAAAUACAUCCCUCACUGUGAAAGGAAAGUGAGACCAACACUCGAAAAUACCAGUGCUAUACAUGAUUCAUGAAUUGGGCAGUACAAUAUCGAUGUGCAAACUAGUAAUGGGCACGAGAAGGAAAGCUGUAGAUGCCACAAGUGGUAUUUUCCACCUAUCCAUAAAAAGGAUCUUUUCGAAAUGAACUCCACAAUGGUAAGGAGGAACAGUAAUAUGUGAUAUCAUACAAAAAAAACGAUGAUGUACUAGCCAGAAGAACAGUGAUACGCAGGGAAACAAUGGGAUGAGAGUAGAAAAGCAGUAGGUGGCAUCUGGUACCCAAUUCAUCCCACCUCGCCGCGUGAGUGGUGCUCGGAGUAGCGGCCGUGUCGUGCACCUUGGUACCUGCUUGCCAGGUGCCAGACUGCCAGCUGACAUUCCUCCUUCAACCACCGUCCCGUGAGCACUGGUGCACCGCCCAUCUUCUCCUCCCGGCAUCCGACUCUUACAUUCCCUUGGACCGUGGUGGUGGUGAGGUUCUGGUAACACGCACUCGCGCAAAAGGAAAGACAGAAAGACAAAAAAGAAAAAUUUGGAUCAUGAGACAAUAGGAGGAACGGUAAGAAGAAAAAAAGAAAAGAAAACAAACAAGUAGAUCGACCUAUCAAUGUGAAGCAGUGACUGACUGUUCUCUCCUUCACGACAGACCGUCACUUGCCAGAACUACCCAGGAUCAAUCGCGUCUCUCUUCUAUUGCACCCACAAACUGUGAAAGAUAAUAGCGACCGUCGUCUCAAUCGGUGUGUAAGACAUUUAUCUCUCUCUCUUUCUCUCGCCGGUAUUGACUCUUACCUGAUAAAGAAUGACCGAGGUGAUGACUAUGUCCGCACCAGCCGGGGUCAACCUGAGCACUUACACCUACACCUCAGCCCCCAGGAUCGUCCAGAACUCCCGCAAGAACUCUAACCGUAUACUGCUAUGGUUUAAAAGGACGAGCAGUGCCGGCAAGCAGAGUUACCACCAGGUUGUGCCUUCAGUGCUACCAAAGCUACUUGUUAUGUGUGACCAGCGCCAAGCAGUCUGUUACUUCCAUCUAGGAAUCUGUGUGGUAUUACUGCUACUGCUUAUGGGUGGAUGGUUGUAACGGUGCACAUGGUGGUGGUGGCGGUGGUAGUGUUGUAGGUGCUAGUAACAGUAGUAGUAGUAGUAGUAGUAGUAGUAGUAGUAAGACAACAGUGGUAAUAUGUAGUAAUGAUAAUGGUGAUAGAUAAUGGAGAAUAAUGGUCACGAACAAUGUAUAUUAUCAUCAGUUCAAAGAAAAUUAUAAGAAAUUUACUAUUACUACUUCUACUAGUACUACUACUACUACUACUACUACUACUACUACUACUACUACUACUACUACUAC